Lagenorhynchus albirostris (white-beaked dolphin) is the source of this 650-nucleotide long non-coding RNA. RefSeq lists it as uncharacterized. The transcript is spliced from 2 exons. NCBI's taxonomy places the organism in Eukaryota, Metazoa, Chordata, Mammalia, Artiodactyla, Delphinidae. The record is from RefSeq and is a predicted model, not a curated record.
GUUGAUAGGAUAGGGCACCCUAAAAAACUGGGGAGAGGAGUUUGGGGUCGGGGCCUCGGAAAGGCGGGAGGUGCCCCACCGCUUUAGAAGCCCGGCGCAGUGCACGACGGGACGCCCCCGGGAAGGGGCGGAGCCGUGUCCGGGCUGCGGUUGGGAAAGCGCAGUCACUCCGAGGGGCGUGUUGAAGAGGGUUUCGCGGGCUCGAGCGGGGGAGGGGGGGACCGUUAAAACCCUGCCCCGCGCCGACAGGAAGCUGCUUUAAUGGCUAGGCCUACCUGGUACCAGGUUUUCGGCUGGGAAGGACCUUGAAGACCAUGCGGUUCAACUUCCAAUUUGCAGAUGUGGAAACUGAAGCCGAGAGAGGGAAACGUCUGGAGGAUGUGGUACACCAAAACAAGAAUAAAUCAAGAAACAGGAAGACGUGAUCCUGGAAACAGGAUAUUCAACAGAGGUGAGAAAUGAAGAGAAUCUUCAAGAUGAUGAAAGGAAAUCCCAGGGUGACAUAACCUGGCUGCAGGCCUUUGAGAGUGAUCAGGACUGGGGCAGGAGGACAGAAGGGACGUCUCCAAGAAAUCAGAUGGAAUGAAUAGAGGAAAAAUUUACACUUCUGGUGAUGGUGGAGAAUAAAUUCAUUAUAGGGACGUGGAAAA